This 73-nucleotide transfer RNA is filed under the name Stegodyphus mimosarum. It matches the Rfam family "tRNA". Rfam says of the family: Transfer RNA (tRNA) molecules are approximately 80 nucleotides in length. Their secondary structure includes four short double-helical elements and three loops (D, anti-codon, and T loops). Lineage: Eukaryota; Metazoa; Arthropoda; Arachnida; Araneae; Eresidae. The record is from Rfam by way of RNAcentral.
GCCUUCGUGGUGUAGUGGUCAGCACACUAAGCGCGUAUUCGAGAGGUCCGUGGUUCAAGUCCUGGUGAGGGCA